UACGUAGGGUGCGAGCGUUGUCCGGAAUUAUUGGGCGUAAAGAGCUUGUAGGCGGUUUGUCGCGUCUGCUGUGAAAAUCCGGGGCUCAACCCCGGACUUGCAGUGGGUACGGGCAGACUGGAGUGUGGUAGGGGAGGCUGGAAUUCCUGGUGUAGCGGUGGAAUGCGCAGAUAUCAGGAGGAACACCGAUGGCGAAGGCAGGUCUCUGGGCCACUACUGACGCUGAGAAGCGAAAGCAUGGGGAGCGAACAGG
This 253-nucleotide ribosomal RNA is filed under the name uncultured bacterium. RNAcentral's name for it is "partial 16S ribosomal RNA". It matches the Rfam family "Bacterial small subunit ribosomal RNA", at positions 524 to 776 of the family's 1533-position model. The record is from RNAcentral.